Molecule: small RNA, 546 nt
Filed under: Pongo abelii (Sumatran orangutan)
Lineage: Eukaryota; Metazoa; Chordata; Mammalia; Primates; Hominidae
Description: processed transcript
Source: RNAcentral
AGAUUAAAUAAAACCAGUUAAAUGAGCUGAAGUCCAAAAUGAGAUUUUAGGUAGACAUACCUAUAGGUACCAGAUAGUAAAUAUUUGGGCAGCAAAACAACAAAACCGUCUUCUUUUAAGGUACCAGCAGACAGGUGUUAGGUGGCUGUGGGAAUUGCACUGCCAGCAGGCAGGAGGAAUUCUGGGAGAUGAAAUGGGAUUGGGCAAGACCAUCCAGAUAAUUGCCUUCUUGGCAGGUCUGAGCUACAGCAAGAUCAGGACUCGUGGUUCAAAUUACAGGUUUGAGGGGUUGGGUCCAACUGUAAUUGUCUGUCCAACAACAGUGAUGCAUCAGUGGGUGAAGGAAUUUCACACGUGGUGGCCUCCGUUCAGAGUGGCAAUUCUACAUGAAACCGGUUCCUAUACCCACAAAAAGGAGAAACUAAUUCGAGAUGUUGCUCAUUGUCAUGGAAUUUUGAUCACAUCUUACUCCUACAUUCGAUUGAUGCAGGAUGACAUUAGCAGGUAUGACUGGCACUAUGUGAUCUUGGACGAAGGACACAAAAU